UAACCACUAGUGGGCGGGAUGGAGUAAGCAACCCAGCCCGUCCCUUUCUCGGAAAUCACCAGGCUUUGGAGAAACGGAACUACAGUCGGGAGUGUCCCCUUCUCUAACCUGUAACAAUGUUAUUUGUUCGGAGACUGAUGACGAGUCACUCUGAGCUGGCGUUCUGAUUGGGCAGUUGGAAAACUGCAAAAGUUGAUUAAAAGUGGAGAAGAGAACCCCCAGAACGUAUCGUUAUCCAGUCGUAAGAGUUUGCACCGUGUGGCACCACUGGGUAAACUUGGCCUUGCUCUCUGAGCGCCACCGCCCGCCUGGGUGCGUCCGCGGUUGAACUGUAUUCUAAGAGAUUUCCCAGAGGAUUCAUCUGCUGUGGAAGGUCGAGAUGGGGCUAGAACCAGAAUCAGCAAUUAGCUAGAG
Ochotona princeps (American pika) is the source of this 414-nucleotide long non-coding RNA. RefSeq lists it as uncharacterized. The transcript has 2 exons. The record is from RefSeq and is a predicted model, not a curated record. NCBI's taxonomy places the organism in Eukaryota, Metazoa, Chordata, Mammalia, Lagomorpha, Ochotonidae.